This 76-nucleotide transfer RNA is filed under the name Burkholderia sp. Its description in RNAcentral is "tRNA-Ala". It matches the Rfam family "tRNA". Rfam says of the family: Transfer RNA (tRNA) molecules are approximately 80 nucleotides in length. Their secondary structure includes four short double-helical elements and three loops (D, anti-codon, and T loops). Lineage: Bacteria; Pseudomonadati; Pseudomonadota; Betaproteobacteria; Burkholderiales; Burkholderiaceae. The record is from RNAcentral. RNAcentral also lists the same sequence under 82 other names.
GGGGGUAUAGCUCAGCUGGGAGAGCGCUUGCAUGGCAUGCAAGAGGUCCGCGGUUCGAUCCCGCGUACCUCCACCA